RNAcentral lists this long non-coding RNA (5298 nucleotides) under Zea mays. RNAcentral's name for it is "long non-coding RNA (ZMAY_LNC001831)". Lineage: Eukaryota; Viridiplantae; Streptophyta; Magnoliopsida; Poales; Poaceae. The record is from RNAcentral.
AUUCCUUCUGCUACGCCAUUAUAUGUUUGCAAGCGUCAGAAGUGCAUGCUUCUGCGCAGUUGCCCUGUGAUGAGGCAACCAACAGCCAAACAUCGCUGGCAUUCCAUUCCACACAGCUCUACUGCAUUGUGCUAGUACUAAAAGUUUCUCAGGCUCUGCGUUUGGUUUGCUUGAGAUUUUUGGAAUCUGCCUUUGGUUUAAUUGCUAGAUUCUACAGAUUCAAUUACAUACAAGCACAUUACCCCUAGGCAUAGUAGUAUCUACAUGCGUUUGGUUCAUUAUGAGAUAUUUUUAUCCGGAUUCUAAAAACCCCAUGAAAACCAAACAGACUUUCAGUCACUUCUGAAUCUCACUCUCUGCUAUGUUAGCACCACGGAUGCUGAGUGUCGCUCCUGAAAUGGAGGCAUCUUUCCUUGCGCGUGAUCAUGCAUAGGCGCAUAGCUGUGGGUGUGAAAGUUCAGAGGGCAGGAAGCGUCAUACCCCUUCAGGGGCCGCGGGUUCCGUGUUAAUAUAGGCGCCCAUUGCGCAAGGAUAACAUCAGAUGUAACAACCUUCCCUUGACCCGGUUACAUGAGAGUAAAUCUAGCUAACAGCUAACAAACAAUCUAUAUCCGUAGCUAGAGGUUGUUACAAGGAGUUCGGGAUAUACAUUAAAUAAUAUGACUAUUCUAAUAGCCUCCCUCAAUCACAGCCGUCGGAGGUUGAGAUUGACUUUAAAGUUCUCCAGCAGUUUGACCGAUAAUGCCUUAGUGAAACCGUCUGCAAUUUGUCCUUGGGAGGAAACAAAAUCAAUUUCUAGUAGCUUUUGUAGAACUCUUUCUCUUACAAAGUGAUAAUCCACCUCAAUGUGCUUGGUUCUUGCAUGAAAGAUAGGAUUGGCUGAUAAAUAUUUUGCUCCCAUGUUAUCACACCAGAGUUUAGCUGUUCUCGGACUGCUAAUAUUUAGUUCUUUGAGUAAAAUUUGUACCCACAUAAUUUCAGCUGUGGCAUUAGCAAUAGCCUUAUAUUCUGACUCCGUACUUGAUCUAGAUACUGUGGGUUGCUUACGAGCACUCCAAGAAAUAAGAUUAGAUCCUAGAAACACUGCAAAACCUCCGGUUGAUCUUCUAUCAUCAAUGCUACCAGCCCAGUCUGCAUCAGAAAAUGCGCUUACCAAAGUUGAGGGUGAUUUGUGUAUAUGCAGACCCAACUUUGUGCACUGUUUGAUAUACCUGAGGAUUCUCUUUACUGCUGCCCAGUGAACAGUUGUAGGGGCAUGAAGGAACUGACAUACCUUAUUAACAGAGAAUGCAAUGUCAGGCCUAGUGAGUGUUAAGUAUUGUAAAGCCCCAACAAUACUUCUGUAUUGUGUGGCGUCAUUGCUCCCCAACAAUGACCCUUCAUGCAGGGAUAGCUUUUCACUAGUGGACAAUGGUGAGCUAGCUGGUUUGCAGUUUGACAUUCCUACCUUUUUUAAUAAAUCUGAAGCAUAUCUCUCUUGAGUAAGAAUAAUCCCAUCAUGUACCUUGUUCACUUCUAUGCCCAAGAAAUAAUGUAGAUCACCAAGAUCUUUGAGUGCAAAUUCUCCUUUUAAAUCUCUUAGCAGUGCUGCGGUUGCUGCUUAUGUAGAGCUUGCAACAAUUAUAUCAUCAACAUAAACAAGCACAAAUACUGUAGUGUUACCCUUGUUAUAGAAAAAUAAAGAUGAAUCAGCUUUUGAUGGUGAGAAACCGAGGUUCACCAGCUUGGAACUUAGGCGAGAGUACCAUGCUCUUGGUGCUUGUUUGAGUCCAUAUAAUGCUUUAUCAAGCUUACACACAUAUUGUUUCUUUUCUGGAUCCUCAAAACCUGGUGGUUGUUGCAUGUAGACUUCUUCUUCAAGAAAACCAUGAAGGAAGGCAUUUUGAACAUCAAGUUGUCGAAGGCUCCAACCUCGAGAGAUAGCCAUAGAUAGAAUAAUACGUAUUGUAGUAGCUUUAAUGACUGGACUAAAUGUGUCUUCAUAAUCUAUUCCAUAUUGUUGCUUAAAACCUUUUGCAACUAGGCGAGCUUUAUAUCUAUCUAAGCUUCCAUCAGCCUUCCUUUUAAUUUUAUAUACCCAUUUACAACCUAUCACAUUUGUGCCUUUUUUUGGUGGAACUAGAUGCCAUGUUUCGUUAUUCAUCAGAGCAGCAUAUUCCAGAUCCAUAGCAUUCUUCCAAUGAGAAUUACUAAGUGCUUCAUCAAGACAUUGUGGCUCACCAGAGGACGUGAAGUAGCCAUACCUGAUUGUGCCAUCAGUGUAUAUUUUCUCUUUCCGGAUGCCGCUCCGCAGUCUCGUGUGUGGACGUAGGGACGUGUCAGCAGUAUCAUCAUGGGCAUGGACCGGCUCUGGCAAGAACGCGGCUGCUUCCCCUGUUUGCUGUAAAGAGAGUGCGUCCUGUAUAGUCACAUCAGCGCCUGUAGUAAUAGGGGGAAUAGGGGCUGUAGGUGCGGUACAGUGGAGCGGCACAGGAGCAGCAUGCGUGGUACAGUGGUCCGGCACAGGAGCAGCGUGCGCCUGUACAGUGUCCCGGAUUCCCUCAGAUGCAUGCGCGGUAGACUGGUCAGGUUCCUCCCCUGGCGUCAAACUUGCAACAGUGGGUAGUGAUCCAUCAAUUCGGUGAACAGGACCCCCUGCAUAUUGAUGUCUGUGCACUGCAGUAUUCUCAUCAGACAAGUUAGUAUUAACAGGGAGAAAAUCAGGAACAUCAGUAUCACGUCUAUUAGCACCUAUUUUAGUCGUGAGGGAUGGCAUUAAGAGAACUUCAGACUGUAAUCUGGCGCCAGCAUUUGGAUGGAGAGCGGAGAAAGGAAAAACAGUCUCAUCAAAUAUGACAUCUCUAGAAAUAUAAACACGUCCUGUGGAGAUAUCGAGACACUUAAAACCCUUGUGAAGAGGACUAUAGCCAAGAAAAGCACACUGCUUUGAUCUGAAUUGAAGUUUGCGAGUAUUGUAGGGGCGCAAAUUUGGCCAACAGGCACAACCAAAAACACGUAAAGAGGAAUAAUCUGGUUUUUGGUGAAAAAGACGUUCUAUAGGAGUUUGAUUAUUAAUGACUUGACUAGGUAGUCUAUUAAUAAGAUAUGUGGCUGAUAGGAAAGCUUCAUCCCAGAAUUUAAGAGGCAUAGAUGCAUGAGAUAGCAAGGAAAGGCCGACUUCAACAAUGUGGCGAUGCUUUCGUUCGGCUGCCCCAUUUUGCUGGUGUGCAUGAGGGCAAGAGACUAAAUGGGAGAUGCCAAUUUUGGUAAAGAAGGAAUUUAAUUUUUGAUAUUCUCCUCCCCAAUCUGUUUGAAUGGCACGAAUUUUUCUAUCAAAUUGCCUUUCAACAAGACGUUGGAAAUCAAUGAAUUUCUGGAAUACCUCAGAUUUUAACUUAAUAAGGUAAAUCCAGGUAAACUUGCUAUAAUCAUCAAUAAAGCUAACAUAAUAUUGUUUUCUGCCCACAGACUCAAUCGCAGGACCCCAGACAUCAGAAAAAAUAAGCUCCAAAGGAGAGUUCGAUUUACUAGAAGAAAUAGGAUAUGGCAGCUGAUGGGCUUUCGCUUGUUGGCAAGCGUUGCAUACAGACUCAUUAUUAGAUUCAACUAAACAAUGGAGUUUAUUUCUAUUAAUAAUUCGCCGAACUAUAACAGAUGAAGGAUGACCAAGACGAUCAUGCCACCGAGAGAUUGAUGGCUGGCUGACUCCACAGGCGUGACGCUUUAUUGAUGAUGACGAAGGAAGAGGGUACAGUCCUCGGUGACAUGGUCCCCUAAGCAGCGUGUGCCUAGUUGCUUGAUCCUUAAUCAAAAAGAAAUCUGGGUGAAAUUCUAUAAAGGCAGAAUUAUCUGUAGUUAAGCGAUGGACAGACACAAGAUUUUUCUUGGCUUCAGGAACAUAUAGAAUAUCUUUUAGAUGAAGCUUACGACUAGAGGUGCUAACAGAGGAAUUACCGAUGUGGCUGAUUUCCAUACCUGUACCGCUUGCGGUGUGGAUCUGAUCUCCACCGUUGUAUUUAUCUCGGAUGGACAGUUUCUCUAAUUCACCGGUGAUGUGAUCAGUGGCGCCACUAUCAGCAUACCAGUUUGUGUCAACUGUGUAUGAGCUGGUCGCGGCAGCAUCAUGGCGUUCUUCAGGGACAUAGCUUUCAUCAAAUCGGUGCCAGCAGUUGACAGCCGUAUGUCCUUUCUUAAAGCAAACUUGGCAUGGGUCACCACUUGAGCGCCUGUAGCCACGUUGCUUGCCUGCCACAGUAUGGCUGUCUUGUCCGCCAGGGCCAUGUCCCUGUCCACCUGCUCCACGGGAGUCCUGGCCGCCCACACCUGCACCGCUGUAGCCGCGGCUAGGAGGCCGAGCACGCCCACGACCGCGGCCCGGUCCUCGAGAGCGACCUCCACGACCUGCAAGAUUAGCGGAUGCCUGCUGCUCUCCUUCAUGAAUUAGAUCCAUUCUUGUUUCGUAACUCAGCAUCUGAGAAUAUAAUUCUUCAACUGAGAUUGGCUCCACCCUUGCAACGAGGGCAGAGACAAGUGAGGUAAAAUCACGGUCCAACCCGGUGAUGAUGUAUUCGACGAGUUCGUCGUCUUCGAGCGGACGUCCUGCGGCCGCCAUAUCAUCAGCAUAUCCCUUCAUCUUCGCGAAAUAUUCAGCAACAUUCAUGCUGCCUUUCUUGGUCGUCGAGAGGGCGAUGCGGAGAUUCACAGCCCGAGCCCGGGUCUGUGAGGCGAACAUCGCCUGAAUUUUUCUCCACGCAUCUGCUGCAGUCUCAGAUCUUGAGACGUGGACCAGGAUUUCCUUGGAGAUAGACGAGAGCAGGUAGCUGAGGACCUGUUGGUCCCGAGCAUCCCACUCCUCGAACGCCGGAUUUGACGUCUUCUUGCCAUCAGCGUCGGCAAUCUCCUUCUCCGGCACUGGUGUGGUUCCAGUAAGAUGGCCAAUGAGGCGAGAGCCACGCAUGGCCGCACGAACAUGGGCUUCCCAUAUGGCAUGGUUUGCUCGGGUAAGUUUUUCGGAUACUGGAUGUGCAAUGAGUGGAUUGGAGGGGGAACUCGACAUGGCUGAUUUGCAAGGUGAACUUGGCUCUGAAUACCAUGUGAAAGUUCAGAGGGCAGGAAGCGUCAUACCCCUUCAGGGGCCGCGGGUUCCGUGUUAAUAUAGGCGCCCAUUGCGCAAGGAUAACAUCAGAUGUAACAACCUUCCCUUGACCCGGUUACAUGAGAGUAAAUCUAGCUAACAGCUAACAAACAAUCUAUAUCCGUAGCUAGAGGUUGUUACAAGGAGUUCGGGAUAUACAUUAAAUAAUAUGACUAUUCUAAUAG